RNAcentral lists this ribosomal RNA (460 nucleotides) under uncultured bacterium. Its description in RNAcentral is "partial 16S ribosomal RNA". It matches the Rfam family "Bacterial small subunit ribosomal RNA", at positions 338 to 795 of the family's 1533-position model. The record is from RNAcentral.
CCUACGGGAGGCAGCAGUGAGGAAUAUUGGUCAAUGGACGAGAGUCUGAACCAGCCAAGUAGCGUGAAGGAUGACUGCCCUAUGGGUUGUCACCUUCUUUUAUAUAGGCAUAAAAUGUUCCCCGUGUGGGAUUUUGUCUGUACCAUAUGAAUAAGGAUCAGCUAACUCCGUGCCAGCAUCCGCGGUAAUCCGGAGGAUCCGAGCGUUAUCCGGAUUUAUUGGGUUUAAAGGGAGCGUAGGUGGAUUGUUAAGUCAGUUUUGAAAGUUUGCGGCUCAACCGUAAAAUUGCAGUUGAAACUGGCAGUCUUGAGUACAGUAGAGGUGGGCGGAAUUCGUGGUGUAGCGGUGAAAUGCUUAGAUAUCACGAAGAACUCCGAGUGCGAAGGCAGCUCACUGGACUGCAACUGACACUGAGGCUCGAAAGUGUGGGUAUCAAACAGGAUUAGAUACCCCUGUAGUC